AGCUUCAGUAGCGUAUAUUAAAGUUGUUGCAGUUAAAAAGCUCGUAGUCGCAUUUCUGGCGAGAGGAUCCGGUCCGACCUUUUGGUGGGUUCUUGGGUCUCUUUCGCCAUCCUUGAGUGGUCCGUUCUGGCAUUAGGUUGUCGGAGCGUCAGCCGCUCAUCGUUUACUGUGAGAAAAUUAGAGUGUUCAAAGCAGGCUUAUGCCGUUGAAUAUAUUAGCAUGGAAUAAUAAGAUAGGACCUCGGUACUAUUUUGUUGGUUUGCGCACCAAGGUAAUGAUUAACAGGGACAGUUGGGAGUAUUUGUAUUUCGUUGUCAGAGGUGAAAUUCUUAGAUUUACGAAAGACAAACUACUGCGAAAGCAUUUACCAAGGAUGUUUUCA
This 382-nucleotide ribosomal RNA is filed under the name uncultured marine Chaetocerotaceae. RNAcentral's name for it is "SSU rRNA". It matches the Rfam family "Eukaryotic small subunit ribosomal RNA", at positions 587 to 972 of the family's 1831-position model. The record is from RNAcentral. Lineage: Eukaryota; Bacillariophyta; Thalassiosirophyceae; Chaetocerotales; Chaetocerotaceae.